Long non-coding RNA from Solanum pennellii, 1122 nucleotides. RefSeq lists it as uncharacterized. The transcript is spliced from 4 exons. NCBI's taxonomy places the organism in Eukaryota, Viridiplantae, Streptophyta, Magnoliopsida, Solanales, Solanaceae. The record is from RefSeq and is a predicted model, not a curated record.
UUGUUGUGCUUUCAUCCAUCGAUACUUUCACGACUUCAUUACAUUCUCUCAUCCACCAGAGUUGCAGAGUUUCCCGGUUCUCUAAGCACUACAUUUUUAUGAAGUUUUUCAUCUCCUAGAGGUACUGGCUCUUCAUAUUCAAAUCGUCUCCGAGUAUUGCUGCCACUAUGAGGAAAGAGUUUUACUGGUGACUUGGGGCUAAAAGGACCUUAUGAAGAUGCUUAUACUAACUUCGAAUAUAAUUAUAAUUGAUGGAGUGGUUUCUAUCCCAAUUUCCCAGGAGCUAUUUGUAGAAUGUCUCACCGGUAAUAUAUGUUAUCUACCGGCCAGUUGAGAUAAAUGAACUUAAGUUUCAAGAUGCAGGACUAUGUGCCUGAUUAGAUCCAUCACAAAUUCAAAAGGGAAUCAAACUUCAAUAUAAGAUGGUAUUUACAGGUAGCCAAGUGAGAUUCAGCAGAGAAAAUGAAAAAAUUUAAGCUCUAUUUUCGAAUCUCCCGCAGAGAAGAAGCUCAGGGACAAUGCACAUUGUUAUUGUCUUUCCACCAGAUUAUUCUAUUCAGGCUAUUGUUUUAACUUUCUGAUUGUUUACAAAGGGAAGGUUAGCAUAAUGAAGACGCUUGGAGGAUGAGAAGUGCGCACUAUACUAUAUGGGUACUGAGUAUGGUGAACAUAUCCUCUUUAUGUGUCCUUAUUUAGUGCAAGUUCGAAAUACCAUGCUAAUAUAACUGCAGAUUCAUAGACAAGUUGAAGGAUGGAACUGUGAUAAAUUAGAAAAUUACAAACUUCAAAGACAAGAGUUUACAUAUGCUGAAGUUUUUAGAAUGACAUUAAAUGCGGGAGUUUUAUGGCGAAAAAGGAAUUAGAGGAUCUUCAAAACAGAUAACAGGAUGAAAGCAACAUUGUUUAGAAAGUUGUUGGCUAUUUGGUCAUGUUGUGAAUUUCUUUUAAAAAAAAAAAAUAAUUUUAGGUUUCAAAGUGAAAAAAGAUAUAUGAAAAUUGAAAUUGGUUUGGUCAUGAAUAUAAAUUGGAGUUCUUUUUGACUUUUUGUGAGUAAUUGGAGCACAAGUGUAUAGAUAGAUUUAACAUAUAAAUUGAUCCAUUUUCAUCUCUUUUUAUCUGGGA